Molecule: ribosomal RNA, 1489 nt
Filed under: Lactiplantibacillus plantarum
Lineage: Bacteria; Bacillati; Bacillota; Bacilli; Lactobacillales; Lactobacillaceae
Description: bacterial SSU rRNA
Rfam family: Bacterial small subunit ribosomal RNA
Source: RNAcentral
GACGAACGCUGGCGGCGUGCCUAAUACAUGCAAGUCGAACGAACUCUGGUAUUGAUUGGUGCUUGCAUCAUGAUUUACAUUUGAGUGAGUGGCGAACUGGUGAGUAACACGUGGGAAACCUGCCCAGAAGCGGGGGAUAACACCUGGAAACAGAUGCUAAUACCGCAUAACAACUUGGACCGCAUGGUCCGAGUUUGAAAGAUGGCUUCGGCUAUCACUUUUGGAUGGUCCCGCGGCGUAUUAGCUAGAUGGUGGGGUAACGGCUCACCAUGGCAAUGAUACGUAGCCGACCUGAGAGGGUAAUCGGCCACAUUGGGACUGAGACACGGCCCAAACUCCUACGGGAGGCAGCAGUAGGGAAUCUUCCACAAUGGACGAAAGUCUGAUGGAGCAACGCCGCGUGAGUGAAGAAGGGUUUCGGCUCGUAAAACUCUGUUGUUAAAGAAGAACAUAUCUGAGAGUAACUGUUCAGGUAUUGACGGUAUUUAACCAGAAAGCCACGGCUAACUACGUGCCAGCAGCCGCGGUAAUACGUAGGUGGCAAGCGUUGUCCGGAUUUAUUGGGCGUAAAGCGAGCGCAGGCGGUUUUUUAAGUCUGAUGUGAAAGCCUUCGGCUCAACCGAAGAAGUGCAUCGGAAACUGGGAAACUUGAGUGCAGAAGAGGACAGUGGAACUCCAUGUGUAGCGGUGAAAUGCGUAGAUAUAUGGAAGAACACCAGUGGCGAAGGCGGCUGUCUGGUCUGUAACUGACGCUGAGGCUCGAAAGUAUGGGUAGCAAACAGGAUUAGAUACCCUGGUAGUCCAUACCGUAAACGAUGAAUGCUAAGUGUUGGAGGGUUUCCGCCCUUCAGUGCUGCAGCUAACGCAUUAAGCAUUCCGCCUGGGGAGUACGGCCGCAAGGCUGAAACUCAAAGGAAUUGACGGGGGCCCGCACAAGCGGUGGAGCAUGUGGUUUAAUUCGAAGCUACGCGAAGAACCUUACCAGGUCUUGACAUACUAUGCAAAUCUAAGAGAUUAGACGUUCCCUUCGGGGACAUGGAUACAGGUGGUGCAUGGUUGUCGUCAGCUCGUGUCGUGAGAUGUUGGGUUAAGUCCCGCAACGAGCGCAACCCUUAUUAUCAGUUGCCAGCACUAAGUUGGGCACUCUGGUGAGACUGCCGGUGACAAACCGGAGGAAGGUGGGGAUGACGUCAAAUCAUCAUGCCCCUUAUGACCUGGGCUACACACGUGCUACAAUGGAUGGUACAACGAGUUGCGAACUCGCGAGAUUAAGCUAAUCUCUUAAAGCCAUUCUCAGUUCGGAUUGUAGGCUGCAACUCGCCUACAUGAAGUCGGAAUCGCUAGUAAUCGCGGAUCAGCAUGCCGCGGUGAAUACGUUCCCGGGCCUUGUACACACCGCCCGUCACACCAUGAGAGUUUGUAACACCCAAAGUCGGUGGGGUAACCUUUUAGGAACCAGCCGCCUAAGGUGGGACAGAUGAUUAGGGUG